GGGCCCGCACAAGCGGUGGAGUAUGUGGUUUAAUUCGAUGCAACGCGAAGAACCUUACCAGGGUUUGACAUCCUGCGAAUCUCUUGGAAACGAGAGAGUGCCUUCGGGAACGCAGUGACAGGUGGUGCAUGGCUGUCGUCAGCUCGUGUCGUGAGAUGUUGGGUUAAGUCCCGCAACGAGCGCAACCCACGUCGUUAGUUGCCAGCAUUUAGUUGGGCAUCUCUAGCGUAGACCGCCGGUGAUAAACCGGAGGAAGGUGUGGAUGACGUCAAGUCAUCAUGCCCCUUCACAUCCUGGGCCACACACGUGCUACAAUGGUAGGUACAGAGGGAAGCCACCCCGCGAGGGGGAGCGGA
RNAcentral lists this ribosomal RNA (356 nucleotides) under uncultured bacterium. RNAcentral describes it as "bacterial SSU rRNA". It matches the Rfam family "Bacterial small subunit ribosomal RNA", at positions 917 to 1271 of the family's 1533-position model. The record is from RNAcentral.